CUCGGGGGCGGGGGUGAAGGAGGCCCCGCCCACAUGGGGGCGGGGCUGAAACUGACAGCCGCGGAGGCCCCGCAACGCCUUCCGUGGGAGGAGCCUCGAACGACAGCCCGCGGGCGGAGCCCCAAGUGACAGCCCGGGAACGGAAGUCCCGGGAGCAGUGGGCGGAGCUCGCUCCGCGGAGCCGGAAGAGCCUCCCGCCCGGCAGGGGCGGGGCCGAGGGGCGGGGCGGAGCCUCCCGCCGGGGCGGCCGGGUGCGGCUGGGAUCCCCUGGAGGGCAGGCGUGCGGGGCCUCGCGCUGCCGCCGGGCUUGCUCAGCGCCGUAGUAAGGCUGAUCACAGGGAGCUGCCCUGGCCAGGCGGGAAGGGACCCGAGGCCGACGCCCCCCUUCCUCGGACCACCGUGAGGGACCGGCGUCUGCGCGUCCCGGGAGCUCCGGGACAGGACUCCCCUCCCCGCCCCGCCAUCCGACCGCCGUCCCGAACCGCCUCCCCACAGCGGCGUGGACAAGCCUCGCGCCCUACCCGGGCGGGACGGGGCGCGGCGCACCCCGUCGGCCACCCCGUCGGCCACCUGGGAGGGCUGCCUGCCCGCCCCUUUCGCGGUCACUCCCUGUAACCGGAAGCGGGGCUGCCGCUGACCCGGGGCCGGCCCGGAGUCGGCCCCGCGGGCGUGUCCAGUUUCCGUCCAGAACGCACCCGAACACGUCUUUCGUCGGCGCCUCUGCCUCCUCGCUUCCACUCCUGCCCCUGGCCGUGCUCUUCGAGAAACUGGUGACGUCCAGGGCUUCCCAAGACACCGGAGGAAAACCCAGGCUCUCUGCCAACAAGCCUGACCCCUCGCUACCUCGGCCCUCUUCCUACCCCUCCCUGCCGUCAGGCUGGCUGCCGGUGGCAGAGCUCAGGAGGUGUCCCGGCGGUGAGGACACCAAGCAGGCGACCCCGUGCUAACAAAGGAGUCAUCAAACUGCGCUCAGGCCGCUUAGCCGGCAGCCCUGCACUCACUGAGGCCUCCUGUAGCAGCUGACCCACUUGCCGACCCUGCUGACCAGCGCCUGCUGUCCCCACUGCGCCUGCGCCGCUGUAACUCAGGAGCGCUGCCCCGACAGUUGGUUCGUUUGCUCAAGGUUGCCCCUCGGGGCGGGGCGGGACUCUCCCACGAUGCCUGCAGCCCACUCAGGGGCCUUCCUCCGCCUGAAUGAGACUGUGCACCUGAGGGAUACAUGCAGCUUUCCUGUCCCUCACCGCUCGGGUGGGAGGCAACGAAAUUCGAUGCUCACAGCACUUCCGAGUGGCUCCCGAACAGGCCCAACCCUUCAACGGGGCUAAUGUGGUCGGCCAACCAGCCUCUCUGGUGCCUGGCUUGCCGGCCUCUAGCUGCCUAGCUCUGAGCCCGCUUGUAAGCUGGCCGGCUCCUUCUCACCCUCCCUAUGCCCCUUCCUCAGACACCCCACAGACCCGUCACCACAGCUCUCUCAGCGCACUCUGUCUUCACUCAGGACUGAAGAGCUUCGCCUGCUUCCGGGCUGCCUCUCCCUCUCCCGAGAGCGUAGGCCCAAGGCAACAGGAUCGCAGCGGGCAGAUCGGCUGCUCCUCUGACCUUCACGACUGGAGAGAGACGCACCACACAAGCUCACAUGGGUUCUUCCCCAAAGGAAUGCUUUAUUGACAAUUUCCCCAUUAUCCACUUGAAGGAAAAGAUGAAUCCGUUACUACGGUUGUGUCCUGCUUUCUCACCACACCCCAUCCGUGAUUCUAACCCUGAAGAAAAAACACCAAAUGCUGUUCCUCCCAUGGCGCCAGCACAGACCGCAGUCCACCCAGGGUGUCUGAAGUGACCAGCGGACACUCGGCUUGCCAGAGGACACCACGGUCUCCCGGAGUGGACUCUGCUCUCGGUGCGCUCUCGGCCUGCUGGGAGCCAAUAAGGCACGGAGCUGCCCCUCCAGACACACGCCAUGCGUGGGGCCCUGACCACAAGGCUGCUGGGGUGUGGCAGCUUCAGAAUGGGAAUGAGAUCUUUGUAGCUCCUGAGAAAAGGCGAAAGCAGAGUCCCAACCGACCCGAUGCAGGCAGGGCCCAUCUGCUUCUCACUUGUCCCCAGGGUGCAGCAAACGGGCAUGUUGGAGCCAAGCCGUCUGUGGAGGGUGCUGGCUUCUGCCUCUCCUGCCCACCCCCACCUCCACCCCCCGAGGCCCAGAGCCCUCUGACUGGCAG
Molecule: long non-coding RNA, 2213 nt
Organism: Mustela lutreola (European mink)
Lineage: Eukaryota; Metazoa; Chordata; Mammalia; Carnivora; Mustelidae
Exons: 2
Source: RefSeq, a predicted model, not a curated record